UACGUAGGGUGCGAGCGUUAAUCGGAAUUACUGGGCGUAAAGCGUGCGCAGGCGGUUUUGUAAGCCAGAUGUGAAAUCCCCGGGCUUAACCUGGGAAUGGCAUUUGGGACUGCAAGGCUUGAGUGCGGCAGAGGAGACUGGAAUUCCUGGUGUAGCAGUGAAAUGCGUAGAUAUCAGGAGGAACACCGAUGGCGAAGGCAGGUCUCUGGGCUGACACUGACGCUCAUGCACGAAAGCGUGGGGAGCAAACGAG
Molecule: ribosomal RNA, 253 nt
Filed under: uncultured bacterium
Lineage: Bacteria
Description: partial 16S ribosomal RNA
Rfam family: Bacterial small subunit ribosomal RNA
Source: RNAcentral